UUGCUUUUCGCUGACGAGUGGCGAACGGGUGCGUAACACGUAUGCAACCUACCUUUAACUGAGGGAUAGCCCAAAGAAAUUUGGAUUAAUACCUCAUAACAUUACGAGAUCUCAUGGUCAUGUAAUUAAAACUCCGGUGGUUAAAGAUGGGCAUGCGCAACAUUAGCUAGUUGGUAAGGUAAUGGCUUACCAAGGCAACGAUGUUUAGGGGGUCUUAAAGGAUGGUCCCCCACACUGGUACUGAGACACGGACCAGACUCCUACGGGAGGCAGCAGUGAGGAAUAUUGGUCAAUGGACGAAAGUCUGAACCAGCCAUGCCGCGUGAAGGAUGACAGCCCUAUGGGUCGUAAACUUCUUUUAUAUAGGAAGAAACCCCUCUACGUGUAGGGGGCUGACGGUACUAUAAGAAUAAGCACCGGCUAACUCCGUGCCAGCAGCCGCGGUAAUACGGAGGGUGCAAGCGUUAUCCGGAUUUAUUAGGUUUAAAGGGUCCGUAGGCGGAAAUUUAAGUCAGUGGUGAAAGCCCAUAGCUCAACUAUGGAACUGCCAUUGAAACUG
This 559-nucleotide ribosomal RNA is filed under the name uncultured Bacteroidota bacterium. Its description in RNAcentral is "bacterial SSU rRNA". It matches the Rfam family "Bacterial small subunit ribosomal RNA", at positions 78 to 635 of the family's 1533-position model. Lineage: Bacteria; Pseudomonadati; Bacteroidota. The record is from RNAcentral.